AAUAGAAGAAUUUAUUUUUAAAUUUAUUUAUAUAAAUUAAGAUUUGUAGUUUAGGGUCAGGCGAAUCCUGUGCCAGCCGCCGCGGUUAUACAGGAUGACCCAAUAAAUAUAAACAAAAUAAAAAUUAUUAUUUAUUUAGAAAUUAUAAUUUUAUAAGGUUAAAUUUUAAAAAUUAUGAUAUAAAUAUUUAGUGUUUAAUAAGUUAUAUAUAUGACUAGGAUUAGAUACCCUAUUAUAUUAAUAUAGAUUGGUAGUAAGUGAUAGACAUGAAACCAAAAGAGUUUGGCGGUAUUUUAAUCUAUUUAGAGGAAUUUGCCCUAUAAAGGAUACAACGCCAGUAUGUUACCCAAGUUUGUGAAGACAGUUUGUAUACCGCUAUCUUAAUAUAAUAUUUAAUAAUUAUUAUAGGGGCUUAUAGAGUUAAAAACGUUAGGUCAAGGUGCAGCUUAUACUUGGGUUUGAGGUGAAUUAUAUUAAUUUUAAUUUAACAAGUUUAGAUAAUGAAAUUUAUUUAGACAAGAAAGAUUUAAUAGUAAAUUUAUGAUAGCAUCUUAAAUUGAAUUUAGCUCUAAAAUAUGCACAUAUCGCCCGUCGCUCUCAUUUAAUGUUGAGAUAAGUCGUAACAAAGUAAAAGUACCGGAAGGUGCUUUU
Molecule: ribosomal RNA, 651 nt
Filed under: Parasitus wangdunqingi
Lineage: Eukaryota; Metazoa; Arthropoda; Arachnida; Mesostigmata; Parasitidae
Description: 12S ribosomal RNA
Source: RNAcentral